Molecule: RNA transcript, 1254 nt
Organism: Carya illinoinensis
Lineage: Eukaryota; Viridiplantae; Streptophyta; Magnoliopsida; Fagales; Juglandaceae
Gene name: PRA1 family protein A1-like
Exons: 9
Source: RefSeq, a predicted model, not a curated record
CUAUCUUUUACUUUACCCCACAAAGGGCAAUCGUAUCCAUUUUCGAUCCUUCAACGCUCAAAUUACUGCUUCGUAUCACCAUCUUCCAACCUCGAUUCCUUCUCAGGCUGUCAUUUCUCUUUACCUCGUACUUGUAAGGUUUUUCCUUUUAGGGCUUCGCAGCAGAAUCCCCGAGACAGCCAUGGAUUGGGGCAACGUUACAGCGGAGGAUCUGGUCGACGCCCUCCGCGAGGUCGAGUGGUCGGCUCCACCGCGCCCUCUCUCCGAAUUCUUCUCCAGAUUCACCUUCCCCCGAUCUUACGCCAAAUGGAAUAGCCGCCUUAAAUGCAAUCUCUACUACUAUCGAACCAACUACUUCAUUAUGAUAAUAUUCAUUCUUGGAUUGGGUUUUCUUCGGAGGCCACUUGCUCUUGUAGCUGCUUGUCUGACAGCACUUAGCAUUGCUUUUCUGAAUGAUAGCUUUGCAGGUACUUUUAGUGAGAAGGUAACAAGAACAGUAAGGCAAUUCUCGCCACACUUAGCUGCAAAGAUGAGGCCUGCUCUUACGCCUGUUAUUCGUGGACGUCCAUCAGCUAAAAGAGCAAUAUAUAUUUGUGGUCGGCCUCGUUGGGUGUUUGUUUUGAUAUUCUCUACUGUGAGUUUCUUCCUCUGGUUUGUUUCCUGUGGUCUCUUAAUGGUCCUAUGGGCUCUUGCCAUUGGACUUCUUGCCACCAUCCUGCAUGCAAGUUUUAGAACACCUAAUUUGAAAGCACGUUUGAACACAUUCCGUGAGGAAUUUCGUGCGGUUUGGCGCAAUUAUAGUGAGCUGUAGCUUACAUGGAGUUUGUAGAAUGUUGCGCCAGGUUUUGUAUUUAACCUCGUCAAUAGUUUGACAUGCUAAUGUUGGCGAUGGGACGUUUGAAUACAAUCCCAAUGGGAUUGUUUUGAUUCUGAAGGUCAUUCAAGUUGUCAUUUUUUAUUUGGGAUCAGCUACUGCCACUUUGGGUAUAAAAUAAUACCACUUCGCUGGACUGGGGUUCGUAGGGGAAAACUGCUGAUAUAUACAGAUCACCAAGUUGUAUAUUAACUGGAACUAAAAUUUCUGUAGCAGACUGUUUCAAUUUCUUACUUGGUAUGUAGAAGAAACCAUGGAGCAUUAGAAUGCAGAGAGCGCAGAUGUUCUAGGGAUACCUGGGCACGCGGUAAAUGCCCACCCUAGUUUGUGAUAGAAUUUAAUCUUUGGUUAAUAGAAAUUAGUAGUAAAAGUUGCCUGUA